UCCCUGACCGGCGAACGGGUGCGUAACACGUGAGCGACCUUCCGUCUUCUGGGGGAUAGCCGGCCCAACGGCCGGGUAAUACCGCAUACGCUCCCUUGGCCGCAUGGCGGGGGGAGGGAAACUUCUGGGGGAGGACGAGGGGCUCGCGGCCUAUCAGCUAGUUGGGGGGGUAACGGGCCUCCCAAGGCGACGACGGGUAGCUGGUCUGAGAGGAUGGCCAGCCACAUUGGGACUGAGAGACGGCCCAG
This 248-nucleotide ribosomal RNA is filed under the name uncultured bacterium. RNAcentral's name for it is "partial 16S ribosomal RNA". It matches the Rfam family "Bacterial small subunit ribosomal RNA", at positions 88 to 334 of the family's 1533-position model. The record is from RNAcentral.